Molecule: long non-coding RNA, 2725 nt
Organism: Numida meleagris (helmeted guineafowl)
Lineage: Eukaryota; Metazoa; Chordata; Aves; Galliformes; Numididae
Exons: 4
Source: RefSeq, a predicted model, not a curated record
UCUGCUCCUCCUGCUGCAGUCCCACAACUUCCUGUUUAGUAGGAAACUUGAUUAACUUGUUGGCUCCGUCGGUCCUGAGGGCCUUGCUUUUAUUAGGAAGAAAGUUGUUUGUUCUGCUUUCACAUGAUUUCACUGGAAAGAAUUGGUUGCAGUCAGGUGUUUCAAACACAGCUUUUAGCUUGGGGUAGCCAAGAGCAAGCUAGCACGGGGGCAACCCCUGCAAUAGAACCAUGCUUGGACAUUUCCAAGCUGAGAUAGUCUUGGUUUGUCCCUCCAUGCAGUCACUUAAGGGGCACUAGACUUUGUCUGGCUUCUAAAAAGGUGUAAAUGUGUUACAAUAAGUGCUGAGGGCUUUUAAAGCCUGAUUUACAUAGGUUGCUUCCUACUUGUUUCUGUGGAGACUACAGCAGAUACAAAGAGCACAAUAACACUGCGCGAUGGAGCAAGUAUUCACCUACAAAGCACUAUUUUUCAGCAUAGUCACCACCACCAUGAGCUCUCCAUUUUCACCAGCUAUGAAGAAGAACCCACACACCAUGCUCAUAAAAAUCUGCACCAGUGGAGGUGACCCACUGUUUCACAACUGUUAUGAUGGCAUAGUUGCUAGGAAAAUGUUGUCCAGACAGUCCAACUUUCAUCAGCCCAAACAGAUGGGAGUCAGGAGGCACCAAAUUCUGACUAUACUGUGGGUGUGGUAGGAUAGUCCAACCAAGACUGACAAUGUGCUCCACAGUCUUUGAAGUAGGAUAGGGCCUGGCAAUAGAAAAGUCGUCUUCUCUGAUCUGACUCUGGAAGUUUGAGCCUUCAGCUUAGUCAGCAUCAUGAUGUAGCAGUCAGAGUUGAUGGUUUGUCUGGGUUCCAGGAAAUCCAGAAGGAUCACCCACCCCUUUCCUAUCCCAAGAGACAGUGCACAUCACUGCCCGCUGAAGGUUGUGUCUUGAACUUGUUCUUCGAUGGGGGAAUUCACAUGCUGGCACUCCAUGGAUUGCCGUUUUGACUCUGGCUUGUAGUGGUGACAUCAUGUCCUGUCACCAGGAAUGAUGCGAUCCAGGAAACAAUUACUAUCAGUCUCAUAAUGGAUCAACAGGCCCUUACAAACUUGCAUAUGGUUCUUUCUGUUCCUGCAGAGCGUUCAUGGAACCCCACCUGGUGCAAACUUUGGGAUAUUCCAACAUUGUCUCCAUUGUUUCCAACACAUUGAAGCUGAGAUGCACCACACAUUGCCUCGCUGUGAUCACAUCCACUGUUUGGUUUCUGUAAACGUUCAAAUGCUUCCAAUAAAAGAAUUGUGCAACUAUUCCCAUCGGUGGCCUGUCCUCUACCCACAAUAGUGAUGGAGAAGACUGUUGGAUUUCCAUCAGCAGAACAAUGUGAGCGUGGACUCCACUGCCACACAUUUAAGAAAGAUCUCCUCAAGUUGCUGCUUGCCAAAGAAACAGGCGAGGUGGGAUGCCCCUGUGAAAGCUUCGCCCUGUGCAGCAUUCCCAUGGAAGAGUUAUUUCCAUCAAAGGUCCCACCCUUACUGAUGUUACUGCUGGGGAAAUAGGAGACAUCUUUUACAGGUGCUGAGCUCUCAGAAUCAGCGGUGUGGGAUUCCAGCUUUGUUAAAACAAUACCCUAAAGGUUGCGAAGCCAUGCCACUUGCCAAGAGCGAAAAUUGAAUGUUCCACUCUCCCCACUUGACUAUAUUUAGCUUGGGAUCCUAAUGAAGUCUUUCUUUGUGUAAUUUCAUCUCUACGGGGCAACUGUGAGAGAAGACUUCCUAAUUCUGUCAGGAUGCUGGGACAGCAUGUCCUCUGGGCCUUCAUCGUGUUGCCAUAUAUACAGCACUAGAUUGCGUCCCUGUUCUAUUGGAGAGACCCUACAGCAUUAUUCUUUUUGUUUUGUUUUCAUUUUUCCCCCCCUCUUUUUUUUUUUUCCCCUCUCUUCUGUUUUAUGAAAGAAACUCGUGUGUAUGGCAGUAGGCUUGUUUGCCCUGUAGAUAUCUGAUGGUAAUGCUGCUUGGACAUGAUUUAUUGUGCUAUAAUUCAACUAGAGAGUAUUCUGAAAGGUCAUUUGGGGGUGAAAUUCUCUUUUCUUUCGUGCAGUGUCCAAAGAAUCAGACAUGGGAUGGAGAAAAACUCUGAAGAUGUGAGAAAUCUUCCUCAGACAUAGGACCAAGCAAUGGGUAACCAUGGGGUGAAAUAACAUUGGUUCUGUGUUGCCAUUCUAUUGAAUAUUGAAUCUAAGCCUGUGUCAAGCCUCUGACGAGUAGGAGGCCCCUUGGCGCCCAUAAGAGAUUACUGAUACAUGUAAAAGAAUGAGUUCUGCCCUAUCCUGAAGUCCUGUCCAUCUAGCUGUAGGUGCCCCUGUUCAUUGCAGGCAAGUUGGACCAGACAACCUUUAAAAGUCUGUGCCAACUCAAUCCUAUGAUUGCACGAUAAACAGCUUAUUUUGACCAGGAAAAGACACCUUGUUAAAUUAAAUGCUAUACUCCUUUGUGCACAAAGGCAAUCUUCAGCCCAAGCUCCAUUGUGUCAUUGGUCAGCUGCCCACUCUAUCAUGCUGCACAUUGACACCUUUCCUUGCUGUCUUCUCUGCGUGCUUGAGGAUGUAAGGAUUUGCCUUCUUCCUUGGCACUAUCGUCAGCACAGAUCAGUAUUCCAAAAUGCAGCCCCCCAAAACCAUACCUCUGCAUUCUGCUGAUCUUUCAGGCUGCACUGGAAGCAGAUCUGCUGUGCGUGAA